RNAcentral lists this ribosomal RNA (403 nucleotides) under uncultured bacterium. RNAcentral describes it as "partial 16S ribosomal RNA". It matches the Rfam family "Bacterial small subunit ribosomal RNA", at positions 30 to 526 of the family's 1533-position model. The record is from RNAcentral.
AUUGAACGCUGGCGGCAGGCCUAACACAUGCAAGUCGAGCGAGCGGCGGGCGGGUGUGAAAUGUAUGGGGACUGCCCGAUAGAGGGGGAUAACUACACGAAAAGGUAGCUCAUACAGCAUACUAUAGGAUAACCCAUAUGGGAUUAGCUAGUAGGUGGGGUAAUGGCUCACCUAGGCGACGAUCCCUAGCUGGGCUGAGAGGAUGAUCAGCCACACUGGGACUGAGACACGGCCCAUACUCCUACGGAGGCAACAGUGGGGAAUAUUGCACAAUGGGCGCAAGCCUGAUGCAGCCAUGCCGCGUGUAUGAAGAAGGCCCUAGGGUUGUAAAGUACUUUCAGUCGGGAGGCGUUACCGACAGAAGAAGCACCGGCUAACUCCGUGCCAGCAGCCGCGGUAAUUC